AUCUGGGGAUAGGAGGGGCCAGGUUCCUCAGCUGAGGUCCUGGGGUGCCAUGGCUCCUCUGGGGUGGUUGUGUUGGGCUCAGGGGCAGGGAUGGGGGAGCAGGCUUAGAAGGUGCUGAUGCUCUUGGCUCCUGAAGUUCCCUGGGGCCUGGGCUUGCCUCUACCCCAUCCCCAUCCUGUUCACCUCAGCACAGCUGCAGGCCUCUCCACCCCAUGCCCACGUUCCCAGCCUCCUUCACGUCCCACCAUAGCUUCUGCCUCGACCACUGAGUCUGAGUUCACUGUGGCCUUAGCCCCCCAGUGAGAGUGGACACAUGCUGCUGGACACCAUCCAACUAGAGAAAGCCCCCACACCUAUCCCUACCAGUUAGAGAGACGAGGUGUGAGCCCCCCCCCACACAUCCUCCACCAUGCAACUGCUUCCACCUCAGUGGGGAGGGAUGGGCCAGUUUCCUGUUGCCAGAGCCAGUGCAGGGAGGAAUCAUGAGGGCACACAGGCCGUAUGGAGGGUCACCCUAGCCGCCCAGCUUCCCCCCUUUCUAAGGCCUGUUCACUGCUGGCAUGUAGGUGCCCACAACUCUCCACACUACAGGUUGUCAUGGUUGGUCCUGCCUUCCUUGGCCAAGGAGAUGCUAGGUGCCAGGCAGGUGCCCUCUCCACAGAUCAGCAUCUCAGCAGAGAGAAGCAGGAGGGCAAAGGGCUCCUCAGGUGAGGGGUCAGAUCAGUUCCCAGUGCUGAGGCCUAGGCUGCACCAGGCCCCCUUUCUGAGGCUGCCUGCAGCUCUUCCCUGGUUUCCUGUGAACCAUCUGUGUAUCUCCAAUAUUUUUCUUGACUUUUUAAGUUAUCGAGGGUCAGUUUUUCUUGCUAGAUUCACCCAAGUAUAUUUCCAAAGACCCGGCAUGGCUUUUGGCCAAGUCAGUCUGAAUUUAAGUGCCCAGGAAGGGCAGAAUACUCAGGGGCAGUGAAGAGGGGGGAAGGACUGUAUAAACAUCAAGAUUAGCCCACACUUCCACCAGCAGCCCCCCGUUCAUGGACCCACGAUUCCAGAACUGGGAAGGCCCUUCAGGCAGUAGAGCAGUGUGGUGAAAGGCCGGGGCUCUGGAAUCAGGCUUCCUGCAAAGCCCUGCUUUACUGCUUACCAGUAGUGCCAUCUCAGUCAGGUCACCUAACCUCUCCUGCUUCAGUUCUCCCAUGGGGAUCCCAGUGGUACUCAACAGGUGCCUCACUUAACCCUCACAACCCCAUGGGGUGGUGGCGAGGACUAAGUGAGAGAGCCUUGCACAGUGUGGUGCUCAGUGGGCAUUUGACACGCUCACCAGAGAAGCACCACCACCAGGGCCUCCACUCCUCUGGGAUGCAAGGACAAGGAGGCGGCCAGGAUUACACCAAUCAUCUCUCCCGCCAAAAGUGGCACCGCCUUCGGGAGUGGAGAGGGCUGAUGUUAGGGCACUGUACUCCAUAGUGGGCAAAGGCAGUUUUGGUGGAGAUGGUGGCUGUCUUCAAGAAGUGAGAUGAGGAACAGAGGGACCCCACAGGCAAGGUGGUGUGAGGAGCAGGAGGAAUGGGGUACCCUGCCCUCCCUUCCAAGCUUGUGCAGCAGCUGGGUAGGAAAGGUUGACCAGGAUGGGCCAGGCAGCCCAUUGUACUGGGUGGGGGCACCUCCUAAGAUAGCAGGGCUGCCUCCAGGCAUCCCACCGCAGCAGGAGCAAGGGGCUUGGCUGCACAAGCACCAGAAGACUCACAUGUCCAUGCCAAGUCACAUGUCCAUGUCUCUCAGGCUCGCUCUUUUGGUUUCUGGAAUCUGUCAUGCUCUCCCCUCCCACCAGGCUGCAUGGCAUCUCUGCAUUGUCCACCCAGAAAACUCCCAGUUAACCCUCAUUGCCCCCAGACCCUUCCUCUCUGAGCCCUCUCCUGUCACCCUCUUAGCACAGUCCCCAUACCUCCAUGGCCCCUUUCUGCCCCUGGCCAUCAUCUGCACUGCACCAUUGGUUGGUAGCAUGCACGUGCACAGUCUUUCCUACAAAACCGUGUCUAAGGAAGGCCUGAAGCAAGGGAUCUGCCCAGAGUACACUCUGUCUUUUGCUCCUUUGAACCACAGGAUUUGGGCAGCCUCCUGGGACUUUGAGGAACAGACUGGAGGGAGCAUUUUAGAAGCUAAGAGGUCCAGGUCCCUGCAUUCUUACCUCCUCCAGGCUCCUUCGGAUGUCACCCAGCAUGGAAAGGACAUCUUGAGUGGGCACCACCCCUGGGGGUAAGAAACACCACUAUCAGUGCAGCCAUGGCUGUGGUGCCCCUCCAUAGACUCUGGUCCCAUUCUCCAACAGCUGGCCUGAGCCUCUGCCUCCCUUCCUGGCUCUAAUUGCACACCGAUCCUCAAGGCACAUGCCUCCCCCUCUCCUAGACAUCCUUCCCACUGCAUCAAUUUGUUAGAACAUUGAUUUGUAUAACACCAGACCGCCACUUGUGAAGCCGCACACUGCCUUCCGAACACACGCCUUCUCCCCUGUCACACCAGGUGGUGGAGGUCAGAAACAACAACAUAGAGACAGAACCGGGCCCCUGGAGCUGGCCUCGGGGAGGAGCUUGAGGAGACCUUUUCUCAUUGUGCACUCUCUUGUACCAUUGAGGUUUUCUUGACCAUGUAAUAUAUGUAAUUCCACAAUUUAAAACAAAAACAAGAGCCUGGCCCUAAACAGGAACUCAGCAAGUGGCAGGAGCCCAGGCUGGGCACAGGCCAGGACACUGCCUCCUGGUUCACAGCCUGCCCUUUGUCCCUACCCAGCCCCAUCUGGAAAGAUACCCUCUUUCAGCCCUGUGGCCACUCCUCACUCCGGCUCCUUGUCAGCAGCCUUCUCCCUCCUGAACAUGCACAGUUGCACGUUCCUAGUUCCUAGCCUCCACAGCCUGCUGCAGAUACCCCUCUCCCAAGUGCUCAGUUCUAACGAUGCCCUGCUAUGCAGCUGAGAGCCAGCGCUACUGGGAGGCACAGGCAUCCCACCAGGCCAGCCCGGCAGGAUGCCCCGCCAUCCCAAAUCUCCCUUCUGCUGGAGCCCAGGCUAAUGAGCUGUCCCUAGUUGUCAUUCCAACCUAAAGGCUACCGGGGGAUUGAAGUGCUGGGCCUCUAUUCCUUGUUACCAUGGCAAGUGCCAGGCUUAAGCCUUGGCACUCACUGGUCUAACAGCCAGCCAACCCAGUUCUAAAUGUGGGAGAAGAUGGAUGCCUGGAGAUGGCCACAGAGCAGCUAGAAAAGCCCUAGUUCUGUGGUGGGUUUUGCUUUCUUCACUGAUUGAAUAUGGGUGGAGGUUGGGGUGCAUGGCCGCCCCUGCUGGAGCAAGUAUGACAUACAGACCCUGGUUAUAAAACAAGCACUCUCCUGUUACACAGAGUGUCUGCCCUCUGUGCACAGCUCUGUGCUCUGCUGUGUCCGCAUACCCCACAUUUUCCUGGGUACAUAUGUCUGACUGGCUUAAGCCCAGAGACCCACAAUGUCAAUGUGGGAGAAUCUGAUGACUGCAGAUUUCAUGCCACUUAUUAUGUAGACAGAAAAACUGAAUGUCUGUGGCAAGGAGGUGAAGCCUUGACUUUGAAAUCAAAUAAAUCUGGGUUCUGGCCAGGUGUGGUGGCUUAUGCAUGUAAUCCCAACACUUUGGGAAGCCAAGGGAGGUGGAUCACUUGAGCCCAGGAGUUCCAAGUGCAACAUGGCAAACCCUGUCUCUACAAAAAAUGCAAAGAAAUUAGCCAAGUGUGGUGGCACACAUCUGUGGUCUCAGCUACUUGGGAGGCUGAGGUGGAAGGAUCGCUUGAGCCUGGGAGGUCAAGGCUGCAGUAAGCUGAGACUGUGCCACUGUACUCCAGCCUGGGCAACAAAAAUAAAUAAAUAAAUUUGUUCAAAUCCUGCUUCUGCCGUUUAUCAGCCCUCUUUGAUGUGAACAAAAUACUCUACCUCUGUGAGCCUCAGUUUCCCUAUCUAAAAACAUGGGCAAUGGUCCUAACACCCUGCCUUCCUGUGAGGUUUAAGAGUAAAGUACAUAUUCAAUCACAGGUGCUGGGACAACCAGGUAUCCCACAGAAACUAAUUUCAGAUGGACUAGAUAUCUAAAGUUUUCGGUAGUAAACACAGAAGGAUAUCAUCCAGUGGUGAUGGAUUAGAAUUAUAAAUAUUGAAUUCAUACUUUUAAUAUGUGUACAUGUAUUAUACAUAGAUGUAUGUAUAUCUAUGUCCUAGAAAGAGAGAGAGAAAUAAAGAUCCACCCCUCUCAGUUCUUCUGGAAGGGUCUAGAAGCAAUGAUACCCCAGUGGCCAUGAGCAUACCUGGGAACCAGAUCUUGGUUUCUACAUACUUUUCCUCAUUAAAAGGAAGCAGGAUUCCUUGCAGAAAUGGCUAAAUCUGGGGCUGGGGUAAGGAAAGUCCAAUGCAGCCUGAAACAUCUUACAAGCAUGUGUAUGGCAUACACUAAGAAGCUCUGCAGCUUCAGGCAAAGGACUGGCACCUCAUUACUCUGUGUCAGCACUGCUUCUUUUUCCAGAUCUUGAUGAUCUAGCCCUUUGCAUGGAAGCUCUCUUUCAGGAUUUUCACUAAAGGAUGGUCCACAUAUUUCUCCUCCUUGUCCUUGUCCUCUAGCACUUCUCUCUGUUGUGCUGAUCAAAGGAUCAGAUCCUUGCAUCUCCAUAGUAAGUAUUUAUUUUCCCUUCUAGAACUCAAAAACACCACCUCUGGAUUUACUACUUUAUCUUUCUGCUUCCUCUUAUAGGUUUCCUUCUUAGGCUUCUUUCCAGUUUCUUCUGUGUUACCUGUGACAUGUAGGUAAAAUAGAAGCCAGUGAGUCUGCAUCACUUUCUUUAGAUCUUGACGGCCUAACUCCUGGAACUGUAGUUCUAAAAACUUUCGCCAAGAGACUGCCAGCACUCUUCUCCCUUUCUUUUUCUGAAUAUGUAGUCUCUGUAUAGCCCAUCAUUUUUUAUGCACAUUAUUCCCAUCAUUUUUCAAAUAUGUCAAGGUCAUUAAACACAAAGAAAGGCUGAGGAACUAUUCCAGAUUAAAAAAGACUAUAGACAAGACAACUAAUGUGAUGCAUGACCAUGGAUUAUAUCCUGGAUUGGGAGAGAAGAAAGCUAUAAGGGACAUUAUUGGAAACAUGGUGAAAUCGAAAUAAUGUAGGUGACCACAUAAUAGUUUUGUAGCAGUGCCAAUUUCUGAUAUUGACCAUUGCAUUGUGGUUGUCUAAAAGAAUAUUCUUGUUCUGAGGAAAUAGAAACUAAUGUAUUUGGGGGUAGGGGCAAGAAGAAAUAAUGUCUUCAACUUUUUGUUAAAUGGUUUGAAAAAAUUUAACAGGUGGUGAAUCUGGCAAAGAAACUAAUAAAUAUAUUGAUAAAAUUUAGUAAGCAUCGACUAUUAAUAAUAAUGAUGAAUGCUCAAAAUCACCAAUCAUCAGAGAAAAUGCAAAUCAAAACCACAAUGAGAUACCAUUUAGGUUGGUGCAAAAGUAAUUGUGGUUUUUGUCAUUAUAUUCAAUGGCAAAAACCGCAAUUACUUUUGCACCAACCAAAUACCUCACUUCCCUUAGGAUGGCCACCAUUUUAUAAAACAGAAAGGCGCAUGCGUGUAGGAGGAUGUGGAAACAUUGGAACCCUAGUGCUAUGCUGGUGAAAAUGUAAAAUGGUAUGAUCAUAGCGAAAAACAGUAUGGAGAUUCCUCAAAAAAAAAAAAAAAUAGAA
This is a long non-coding RNA of Callithrix jacchus (white-tufted-ear marmoset), 5714 nucleotides long. RefSeq lists it as uncharacterized. NCBI's taxonomy places the organism in Eukaryota, Metazoa, Chordata, Mammalia, Primates, Cebidae. The record is from RefSeq and is a predicted model, not a curated record.